Molecule: long non-coding RNA, 3166 nt
Organism: Oncorhynchus tshawytscha (Chinook salmon)
Lineage: Eukaryota; Metazoa; Chordata; Actinopteri; Salmoniformes; Salmonidae
Source: Ensembl
UCUGUCUGUCUGUCUGUCUGUCUGUCUGUCUGUCUGUCUGUCUGUCUGUCUGUCUGUCUGUCAAUUGAAGUGUGUAUAGACAGACUACAGUAGGCUGGCCCACCUGAUACACUAAACCUCCUGCUAGCUGGAGAUUAUGUACUUUCAGCGUAGUGCUGAGCGGUGAGCCAGGGUUCAGACUGUCAAAUCUCUCCUUACCUUGGGGCUGGGAGGACAAGACAGGACACACGUCCUCUGUAUGGUCAUGGUCACCCCAGACCUUGGAAAGGGAACAGAGCAGACUAGAACGCAGCAGACUACAGGAGGCCUUUCUGUCUGGCCUGGCCUGUCUGUUUGCCAGUGGUGUGACGGGAGCCGGAUACACACUUCACACAGUAUGAGAACCUCUAUACAGGAAACGUCUCCAGUCCAGACUACCUGUUCCAAAACCAUUAGUGGAGCUAUUUAGACAUUCAGUUGUAGAGUUUCUGUUUCACUGGCCUUGUGUCAGCUCACUUAUGGUCUGCAUCCCAUAUGGCACACUAUCCCUACAAAGUGCACUAUUUUUGACCAGCGCCCUAUGGACCCCGGUCUAUAGUGGUGCACUUUAUAAGGAAUAGGGUGCAAUUUGAGAUGCAGACCAUAGUCUGUCUCUUUCUAUGGAAUGUUCUAGAGUAUGGAAGGUUCUAGAGUAUGGAAGUUCUAGAGUAUGGACGGGUCUAGAGUGCUCAGUAAGUCAGACAGAGACACAAGCAGCUGGGGCCGUGGGGGCGUCAGUCAUUCACCUGUUCCAGGUAUUAAGUUCCAGACAAAAACACCACUGCAGGAUGGCCAAAUACUCAAGUCAAAUCACAUUUUAUUUGUCACAUACACAUGUUGAGCAGAUGUUAUUGCGGGUGUAGCGAAAUGCUUGUGUUUCUAGCUUCCAACAGUGCAGUUGUAUCUAACAAUUAACAACAAUACACACAAAUCUAAAAGUAAAAGAAUGGAAUUAAGGAAUAUAUAAAUAUUAGGAUGAGCAAUGUCAGAGUGACAUAGACUAAAAUACAGUAGAAUAGAAUACAGCAUAUGAAAUUAGUAAAGUAAAAAUAUGUAAACAUUAUUAAGUGACUAAUGUUCCAUUAUUAAAGUGGCCAGUAAUUUCAAGUCUAUGUAUAUGGGGCAGCAGCCUCUAAGGUGCGGGGUUACGUAACCAGGUGGAAGCCGCCUAGUGAUGGCUAUUUAACAGUCUGAUGGGCUUGAGAUAGAAAAUGUUUUUCAGUCUCUCGGUCCCAGCUUUGAUACUGGUUAAGUUCCUUCCCAGCUGUAAACAGUGGAAAAGGAGAAGAGUUGGGCCAGUCAGAACCGGGAUAGCUAGGACGGUCAGUUCAGGUACACUUCUGAUCUAGAGAUACUACGGCCAGUCUGCUGUACAAAGAGAAUAGACAGAGUCUUUGUGAAAGGCAGAUGGAAGGAAACCCAGUAAGGAUAAUAGUCUUUGGGCCUGUGUAGAGCCAGUCAGAGGAGGCAAACAGACCAAGAGAAGGGAGAGGGUUGGAGACGGUUCAUAGGCUGCAUCAAGCAUCCCUCUUCGAGGCAGAAAAAUAACAUUAUAAAGUUGACAGGCAUCCCCAGGGUUUAAGUGUUGUGUACGGUAGUGUGGUUUGUGUGCAAUUUUGAGCCACUUCGGUCACUGUCAAAAGCCUCAAUCUAAUCUACUCCUGUUGUGUGUGUGCUAACAGAGCGCUGGACAGAAGAGCGAGCUCUGAAACAUAGGAAUGCUGGAGAGCCAGCUGAUCACUGUGAACCUCAAGAAACAUGCCUUUGUCUUUGACUUGAGAAAGAGGAAAGUGUCUUCUGUUGCCAUGGUGCUUCUGAUGGACUCUGCAGGAUGACCAGAUGAAGAGGAUGUAUAUUUAAAGAACAUCUUCUCUAUGAGGCGUGAUGUGUUGUGCUGUUGCAACGUGUCACUGACUCUGUUUCUAUGACCUGAUCUUUUUCUAAAGGUGGAAUACACUGUAAAUACUUUGAUUUUUGUUGUUUCAUUUUUUUUCUUCGGUUAUCACAGCCAUCACCUUAUCCUAUGAGCUAGCCUCCUGCUCAGCUAGCCAUCAAACAUCUAGAUACAGUUACUGUCAAAAGGGUUUGCUGCAUUGCACCUCUUACUUGCACAAAUCUGUGAACAAACAACAAACACUUCAAUUGUUGUGUCCUUAGUUAGUUUGGAUGUGUGGGUCCCUUCCUGCUCUGUUCUCCCUAAUCAUGGUCUUCUUCAGUGCCUUCACUUGGUUUCAGUUAGCAUUGUGGGGUGUUGUGUCCUGAAAUGUAAAGCGGCUGCUGGCAGGACCCUUGAAGUUCACUGGAUGUCACUGGAAGGCUACUGUCCUGCAUGGAAACUAACUACUGGUUUAAUCAAUUUUGUUUCCACAUAAUUUCAACCCUCAAAUUCAAUGUGAUGAAGUUGAACUGUUUGGAGUAGAAAAGAGAUAUCAACGUAAGAGAAUUUCAGAUUUUGUUCACCUAACUUUUAACAUAAAUCCAAUGACUUGGUGACAUUUUUUGUUGAUUUCACAUUGAAUUAAAGUUAGUUGACAACUCAACCAAAUCAAAACUAUAUGUAGAACUGACAUCUGUGCCCAGUGGGUACUGACUGGAUGGCACAGGCUAACGCUAUAUAGCUUCCACUGAAAUGAUCAAAUAUCCUGGUUGCUGUACUUACUUGAACAUGAUUUUGGCAAAAAGUUGUAGAUAAUCAAUUGUGUAGACAUACAUUCAUUGUGUAUUUAACUGUUGGAAUGAAUAUAGAUUGAUAUACUGGAAUUGUGAUUGUUAGUAACCCCUUUUGGCCAUAGCCAAUAGCCCAUGAAAACAUGUUUCUCUGAGUUCUCAUUUCUCAAAUCUGACAUCUGCUGCUUUGGGUUAGUCCACGUAUCCAUGACGAUCCCAAGCAACCAUGACGAUCCCAAGCCUUUGUAUAUAUCAGGAGUCGACUGUAUUCAUCCACAUGUUUUGAUGAACCAAAUGUCCUCGACCCAUUGAAAAAGGGGUUAAAUGUGUACGUUGUCUCUGUUGAUGUGUUUUCUAUGUUUUCUCAUAGUUCAGAGACUAACAAGACAAUGGGGUUAUGAUCUGUGUUGUGUAUGUUAGACUUACUGGUUGAAAGCCCACAGACACUUUUUGUAAUAAAAUGGCAAUAUUUUUUACAAUA